AGAGCACGCCAUACACACACAUAUCUACGCACGCGCGCGCGCCUUUCUCUGCGUGUUUGUGUGUGUGUGUGUGUGUGUGUGUGUGUGUGCGUGUGUCCGCAGUACAUGGCGGGCGGACGCUAAACACACAAGAACACGCGCAUACAUAACGCCGCGCAGGAGGUUGUGCCCUCCCCCCCCACCCACCGACCCCGUCCCUCCCGCCUGCCACCUCACUGGACACGCGCACACAUGACGCGCACUCCAUCAUCACUUGCACCCCUCCCUCUCUCCUCCUUCAAGCAGCUCUCGAUGAACGCACCGGUACAGGAACGCAGUGGCACCAGCAGCAGUAACGCGCCACCUGCGCACAAGAAGCAGCGCCAUGAAGGUGGGUGUAGUGGCAAGGUCCUUGACGACCGUGACGCGGAUAGUGUGCGUGUCUGGGGUGUCCUCGUCGCGCAGAACCUGCCGUCGAGAGAAAACGGGCUGCUGGCACACGCGCCGCGUUGUCGCUGCCCUGUGGAAGGGGCAGACGCGCCGGGGAAAGAGUCAGUGACGAAGCUGAUAGCCUCAUCGUCCCUGCGUGAGCCUGAAGAGGACUGGUUGUGGCGGCACGUUCCACCAGCUCUGCGGCAGUUCUACUUUCCGGCGUGCUCCCACAGCGGCAGCACGUACCCUUGCGCACCAGCGUCCGCAGAAUGUUCUGAGAAGUGUUGGGCGGCCUCGCUGCAGCAGGAGGGAGAUAAGUCUCACCCCUCGCCAUCACCUCGCCUUCUCCUGCCCCUGUGUGGCACUCGCAGCAACAACGGCGCUGUCCGUCUCGGUCGCCUCGCCAGCAACGACAUCGUCUUCGCCACGAAUCCGUGUGUCAGCAAUGUGCACUGCACUAUCGCCUACCAACCGGGAAGUGAUCCUCGUCGCGGUGACGCUGCGGCGGCGGCUACAGUGGCGGCGGAAGACAAGGAGGCACAGAGGGCGGCCUACGAGGCGGCCGGCGCCGUGGCCAAGGUCGUGGCUCCGCUUCAUCGCAGUCCUCAACCCGCAACGGAUGCGCCAGCUGCGCCGCAUCCACGCGGCGAUGCAACCGGCCGCAACGCCGCUCGCAUUAUGCUCUCUGACUACAGCACAAACGGAUGCAUCGUCAACGGCCAGAAGGUGGGCAAAGGCCGCUCGGCGCGUCUGCGCGACGGUGACGUGGUGGAGCUCAUCAACGCCGGCCCUCGGCGCACGACGGACUACAACCUCUCGUUUCUCUUCCUCACGGCGGAGGCGUUUGUGCGUUGGGUGGCAGAGCAGCUGCAUCAGGCGAGCACGACACAAGGCGCUGAUGAGGACAUCGCCUUGGCGGAGAAGGAGCAGCAGCAACGUCAGGCACUGCAGACAGCUGCGCGACGGCGUGCGCUGCUGUGCAGAGCGCAGUGGAACGUCGAGGCGCAGGUGCGGCGCAUGUACGGUCACAGCGUUGACGAGUACUACUCCCUUGAUCGGGCACAUCCGCUGGGCCAGGGAACGUUCGGCACCGUGUACCGCGCCGCCUUGCGCGCAGAGGCGUCAGCCUCAUCGCAGUCGCCGUCCCUCCUCGACGCUGGUGGUGGUGUCGCGGCUGGUGUGCCCUCAAGUUGGGAGUACGUCUUCAGCGGCGACGGCGUGGGUGAGUGGACGGCGAACCCGGCAGAGGCGGCUGAGCUACGGGAAGCCUACAUACGGGGGAAGGAGCGACGGGCGCCAGCCUCGGUGCUGCAUGUGUCUGCGUCGGCGGCCUCGACGACAGCAGCGGAGGCGGACGCAAUCACCACAGAUGAUGCUGCGCCACAGGUGUUCGCUGUCAAGAUCAUCCGCAAGCAGCGCAUGUUGUUUGAAGCUCUUCGGCAGCAGCAGCAGCAGCAGCAUGUCGAGGAAGGCGAAGGCGGUACGGAUCGAGCACCUGUGUCAUGCAUCCGCAACGCUGCCACCGUUGCCACCCCUGGUACUGCGGGGGCAGUGCCAGGGACGAUAUCGGCCGCAGAUGCCGCCGUGAUUGAGCAGCUGUUGCUCAUGGAGACGCAGCCGGACGAUCUGGCCGCGCAGAGACGGAAGGAGUGGACAGCAGGUGUGCUCGCCAGUCUUCAGCUUGCCGACUUAGCGCCCGCUGCCCUGACGCCGUCCUCCUCGCUCAGCGCACUUCGGAAGUCGCAGCACAAGCCGCGAGACGACGACGACUCGAGUGAUGACGGGGACGCACAGCCACUGUCGCAGCAAGAUCGUGAGCAACGCCGUCGAGAGCUGAUCCGCUGCCUCCCCGAGGCACUCCGCCGCACAUAUGAGAGAGAGUUGCAGCACCGCCGCCGUCAGCAGCGCGAGAUCAACAUUCUCCUCGCCGUGCGUCACCGCAACGUCACCGCACUGUACGAGGUGUUUGACCAGCCAGACCACCUGGCACUGGUGAUGGAGCAGGCGACUGGAGGGGAAGUGUGGGACCUGCUGCAGAUCUACAAGCGACGUGAGCGCGGGGGGAAAACAGGUGCUCGUAAGAGCGAGCGUGGCGCGAACAACCAUCGUAACGCCGGUGCGCAACGGCUUGGCGACGGCAAGAGCAACUCGACAACGGCAGCGGCGACUGCAGCUACGUGCGACGACGACGACGACGUUGAGCUCGUCUCGGUCGGCGGUCCGCUGCCGGAGUUCAUUGUGAAGAUCAUUAUCGUUCAAGUGAUUGAGGCAGUGUUGUACCUGCAUACGAUGGGCAUCAUCCACCGUGACUUGAAGCUCGAAAAUUUGAUGCUGCAGCGCCCCUGCGACCGCUACGCGCUCAACGCGCUGCAGCUGCAGACGUUGGUUCAUCAGCUCCGCGCCUACUCUCACUCGCACCAUGCAAGCGACGCGUCCACAUCCGCCGCGACGACGUGUGAGGACGACAGUGAGGCGGUGGAGUUCACAAAUCCGCUGUCGGUGCUUUACACGGUGCACGUACCGCGGCACAUGUGGCCGGUCGUCAAGAUCAUGGAUUUCGGUCUCUCGCAUGUGCUCGACCACCUGCAGACACAUCCGUUCGACUCCGCAGGGGCGCUGCACGGCUUCGCCGGGACGCUCUCGCAGAUGUCACAGGGCGUUGAAGGCAGGUCUGCUGCAGCGGCAUCAGCAGCCACGGAGGCGGUGCCGGAGCGGGUGAAGCUGAUCUAUUCCCGCAACGACGCAACGACGAGCUGCGGCACCCCUAUCUACGCAGCCCCUGAGGUCACCAACCCGGCCUUGCGCCCGGACAAGAUGGGGUACGGUGCAGCAGUCGACAUGUACUCCGUCGGCGUCAUCGCGUACGCGCUGCUGACGGGGCGGGCACCGUUUCCGUCAGCGAAAAACCCGCGGCGGCCGGGUGGCCCACCUGUGGUGAACUAUGACGCCCCCCUGCGCUUCCAGCGGCACCGGCGCCGCCCAGCAGUGCCGAAAGGCGCCACCGGCCCCCCAGCCAGUGCUGGGCCGCUCCCAACGUCACGGCCGUCCAGCUCUGCGGCACGCCCUCCUUCUGAAGUCGCGUGUCUACCUCCGCUGUCAGUGGUAGAGUCGGUGCGCGUGGUGCUGCCGAAAGAACGUGCCGAGACGUCAGCUGCGUUCUCCGCCGCCUCGGAGCAGACUCGGCAGUGGCACCGGCGCGCCGAGGCGGUGGCGGCGUCUGUGCGGUGUGCGGAGCAGAAGCGUGCCCUUGCUGAGGGCAGCGAUGGCGGCAGCAGCGCGACGCCGGCUGACACGCUCUUUGCCACCACCGUGGAGCAGCUCUGCGCAUCACUCACCGCGUACGCCGACAUGUGUGCGUCGGGUGGGCUGGAGGUGGACCUCGAUCGCCUCGUGUACGUCUCCGCGGACGCUGCCGCGACCGGUGUGCAGGCAAAUGCGUCCGUCGGUCGCGUGAUGGCGCCUGAUGGGCACGUCGCCGAUGUGUUGCUACCCCCCAUCUCGGCGCUCGGCACCUCGUUCCUUCGCGGGCUUCUGGAGAAGUACCCUUCUCGGCGGCUGACGGCUUACGAGGCAUUGCGGCAUCCGUGGUUGCGCGAGUGCGUGUGAUACCCUGAGGCGAUGAGUCUGACGAGCCCGUCAUCAUCCGCUGGUGGGUUGAUCUCCAAGUGUGUGUUGCUGCGCCCGUGGAAGAUUGUCUUCAUGACGCGUUGGAACGCACGAUCGCGCUGUUCCCACCACCACCACCACCACCGCUGAAGCCCGAGUAAGGAUGGAGAGGAUCCGCCGUGCUGAGGUUCUGCGCCCGUGCCUGACGCUUCGCCACAGCGUCACACAGC
This 4247-nucleotide unclassified non-coding RNA is filed under the name Leishmania donovani. RNAcentral's name for it is "gene:LdHU3.04.0870(CDS-product:serine-threonine_p rotein_kinase-like_protein)". Lineage: Eukaryota; Euglenozoa; Kinetoplastea; Trypanosomatida; Trypanosomatidae. The record is from RNAcentral.